UUUAUUUAACCAGGUAGGCUAGUUGAGAACACCUUUAUUUAACCAGGUAGGCUAGUUGAGAACACCUUUAUUUAACCAGGGUAGGCUAGUUGAGAACACCUUUAUUUAACCAGGUAGGCUAGUUGAGAACACCUUUAUUUAACCAGGUAGGCUAGUUGAGAACACCUUUAUUUAACCAGGUAGGCUAGUUGAGAACACCUUUAUUUAACCAGGUAGGCUAGUUGAGAACACCUUUAUUUAACCAGGUAGGCUAGUUGAGAACACCUUUAUUUAACCAGGUAGGCUAGUUGAGAACACCUUUAUUUAACCAGGCAGGCUAGUUGAGAACACCUUUAUUUAACCAGGUAGGCUAGUUGAGAACACCUUUAUUUAACCAGGUAGGCUAGUUGAGAACACCUUUAUUUAACCAGGUAGGCUAGUUGAGAACACCUUUAUUUAACCAGGUAGGCUAGUUGAGAACACCUUUAUUUAACCAGGAAGGCCAGUUGAGAACACCUUUAUUUAACCAGGUAGGCCAGUU
Oncorhynchus keta (chum salmon) is the source of this 520-nucleotide long non-coding RNA. RefSeq lists it as uncharacterized. NCBI's taxonomy places the organism in Eukaryota, Metazoa, Chordata, Actinopteri, Salmoniformes, Salmonidae. The record is from RefSeq and is a predicted model, not a curated record. The transcript is spliced from 3 exons.